RNAcentral lists this ribosomal RNA (253 nucleotides) under uncultured bacterium. Its description in RNAcentral is "partial 16S ribosomal RNA". It matches the Rfam family "Bacterial small subunit ribosomal RNA", at positions 524 to 776 of the family's 1533-position model. The record is from RNAcentral.
UACGGAGGGUGCAAGCGUUAUCCGGAUUUACUGGGCUUAAAGGGUGCGUAGGUGGGCUAGUAAGUCCGUGGUGAAAUCUCCAAGCUUAACUUGGAAACUGCCGUGGAUACUAUUAGUCUUGAAUGUUGUGGAGGUAAGCGGAAUAUGUCAUGUAGCGGUGAAAUGCUUAGAUAUGACAUAGAACACCGAUAGCGGAGGCAGCUUGCUAGACAAUGAUUGACACUGAGGCACGAAAGCGUGGGGAGCAAACAGG